UUUAUUAUUAUUUAUUAAUAGUGCGAAUUGAAAAUACUGAGUGCAAAAUAAAAUAUAUAUAGGUCUGUGUUUAUUGUUUACAUUUCAUCUACUUCCGGACCCGGUGUGUCCUAAAUUUACUGAAGAAAUGGUUGAAGACUAGAUCUACAUCUAGUUCUAGACAUAGAUCUCUAGAUCUACUGAUCUAGUAGUCUAGGUCUAGAUAUUAGAAUUAGAUCUAUUCUUAGAAUCUACCUCCAAGAAUGAAAUCAGCUCAGCCUUGAGUUGGACGACAUGCUUUAACACUUUUCCCCUGGAGAGCCAACAAAUGUUGGUGUGAUACAGGAGACAUUAGUAGUCUGAAUCCAUUGCUUCACAAAGCUCUGAGGAAAGUUAGAAUGCAAGCGGUCGAGAUUUGAGGAAGUUUACAACUUCAAUCACUUGAUCCAGAACAGACAUCAAAUAUUUGAAGGCAAGAGCUUCUCUGUGGAUCAUGCAGUGAACAACUAAUACAUUUGGAUUUUCUUGACGCACAAGAGUGAAGAAUCCCUUUCUAUUUCCCUGCAUGGAAGGACAGCCAUCGGUGCAAACGCUGACACAGUUUGUCUCCACUGUACUUAAUAGCAAAAUGUUUUCGUUCACCACUUAAAAAUCUUCGCCUUUGGUCGUAGUUGGGCACAACAUAAUGAGGCAACACUUAUUCUGGAUGUUGAAACUAGUGAAAAGAACACGUGGCCUUGUUUUAUCAUGAGGCCCAUACAAAAUACUGGCCCCCCAACAGUCCUUUAGAAUAAAGAUUGUAUGGAAAGCUGCCUGAUCUGAAAAGAAUGGAGUUCAUCUUCGAUAAAUAUAUAUAUAUAUCUGAACCCUACAAUUUAUAAUGAGAACACAGAGAAAAAAAAAACGCAAACAGUGGUGAUUUUAUUGUUUACCAUGGAGUUGUCUACUUUUCAAAUUUUACUGACCAAGUUUGUACAGUGACUGAUCCAUCUGUAGUUUCCGAACCAGUAACUGAUAUCUCAAAAAAAUAUUGCUAUACUGAUGGUGUCUGUCACCUCAGAUGAUCAACAUGAUUUGUUCAUUGAAAGACACUUGAAGGUGUAAGUUGUAAAAGGUUUUGAAAGACUUGCCAAAGCAAGGCAUUCUUGACAGGGAUAAACAUUGGGAGCAGCUCUAGCUGACUCAGCUCAGAGGAUGACAUCACAGUUAAUUGACAUCUUUCUGUUAACAAUGCAUGGAUUAUCUUAUCUUCUUCAUUCUAGGGGAAUUAUGCAUCAAGUGAAGACAUCUUGCUGUAGAAGAGAAGAAAAAUUCAGAUAUUCCACAUGAUUUACAAUAUGGCUUUGAUUGUCUUAUGUUAAUGGCUGGUAAAGAACUGAAACAUGUAGGCUGGAGAAUCACUUGAUAGAAAUCAAGAUGUUUAGUCACUUUGGGAGCAGUGAUCUUGAGAUUUCGAUGCUAGAUACUCUCAGAUUUGAAAGCCGGUAUCUUGGAUAUUUUCUUAGCUCCUCUAGAUCAAGAUGGCAAAGAACUUUAUAAGGAUAGGUCUCCCAUCCAUCACACAACAUUCAAGCACCAAUGGGUUUCUUUCAAGGAGUUGAAGAUAAGGUAGUUCCCCUUAACAAAGCUGAGAUGAGGAAGUUAAAGCAAAAGGACUGCAAUGUUUGUUUCAAGGACCAGACACAAGAGAAUUCGACAACAUAUGUAUCAGAAGAUCAAAAUCAGAAACUGAAAUCUGCCCAUUUGGAGUGUCACCAGAGAAUGCUGACCAUCUCCUCCAAAACUGCUCUCUUUACCAAGAGGCUGUACAUGACACUGGCCCCAAAACACCCCAAUAGAAAGAAAACUAUAUGGAGAGUUCCCUGAUUUGGAAACCACUGCGAAAAUAAUCUCAUAUACUGGUCCAGUCAUCUGAAUGCUCCAAUAAAAAAAUGAGAAGGAAGAAGAAAGAAGAUUGUAUGUACCAUUUUUGUUUGUUUGAGGAUGGGGAGAAAAGUGUUCUUAGAAUUCAAACACCAAAAGGAAGCAACAUUGCUAUCAAAAAGCAGAGACGAUACAAACCUCAUUAGAUGAAGAGUUGGUAAAGUCCUUGGUUUUGAGCCAGCAGAGAAACAUAAAAAGGGCCGUACACAUAUAUGUAAAAGACAUGCUAGAUCUAUGAGUGUAGAGAAAGAUAUUCGUUAUGAGCUGCUGGCUAGAUUAUGCCCAAACAGUACAGGAGCGGAAAUUCGUAGUGUUGGCACAGAAGCUGGAAUGUUUGCUAUCAGGGUUCAUAGAAAUUGUACAGAGAAAGAUUUUCUGGAAGCAGUAAAUAAAGUCAUCAAAGCCUACGCCAAAUCUAGUGCAACUCCUUGCUACAU
Molecule: long non-coding RNA, 2339 nt
Organism: Biomphalaria glabrata
Lineage: Eukaryota; Metazoa; Mollusca; Gastropoda; Planorbidae
Exons: 11
Source: RefSeq, a predicted model, not a curated record